CAAAGGUGAGCCAGUACAGGAUGGACCCGCGUCUGAUUAGCUAGUUGGUAAGGUAACGGCUUACCAAGGCGACGAUCAGUAGCCGACCUGAGAGGGUGAUCGGCCACAUUGGAACUGAGACACGGUCCAAACUCCUACGGGAGGCAGCAGUGGGGAAUAUUGCACAAUGGGCGAAAGCCUGAUGCAGCAACGCCGCGUGAGUGAUGAAGGCCUUCGGGUCGUAAAACUCUGUCCUCAAGGAAGAUAAUGACGGUACUUGAGGAGGAAGCCCCGGCUAACUACGUGCCAGCAGCCGCGGUAAUACGUAGGGGGCUAGCGUUAUCCGGAUUUACUGGGCGUAAAGGGUGCGUAGGCGGUCUUUCAAGUCAGGAGUGAAAGGCUACGGCUCAACCGUAGUAAGCUCUUGAAACUGGGAGACUUGAGUGCAGGAGAGGAGAGUGGAAUUCCUAGUGUAGCGGUGAAAUGCGUAGAUAUUAGGAGGAACACCAGUUGCGAAGGCGGCUCUCUGGACUGUAACUGACGCUGAGGCACGAAAGCGUGGGGAGCAAACAGGAUUAGAUACCCUGGUAGUCCACGCUGU
Molecule: ribosomal RNA, 580 nt
Filed under: uncultured bacterium
Lineage: Bacteria
Description: bacterial SSU rRNA
Rfam family: Bacterial small subunit ribosomal RNA
Source: RNAcentral